UCUAAAAAUAAUUCCCAACAUUUUUUCUUUUCCCGCUUCUCCUCUCCUUCCUCUUCUCUGGUUUCCCUAAAACCUACUCUCACCUUCCCCUCUCUGGUUUCCGGCUCCUGGUUUCUCUUCUCUUCCCCUCUCCGGUUAUCUGGGCAGGAAAUCAAUACUCACAACACACACCACACUCCCACCGCCGCAUCGCCGCAGCUGCUCCCCACCGCCGCGUCGCCGAUGUUUCCCCCCCACUACAUAAUUUGUCCUCUUCCUUCCGCGGCCGCAGCACAAAGGCGUCGCUCCUCCUUAUCUCAUAUAGGUGUCAUAGAGCUGCUAGAAACUGCAGGGAAGAGCUGAACUAAGACUCAUGAAUUCUGAGAUGCUUAAGCCAAUACGCAUUGCAUUUAGCAUUCUUGAUAAGUGUGGGUGCCUAAUACCUUGUAGGAUCUAAUGCUGUUGAAUGUGUUCAGGUAUUCAAUAAUCCGAGGGAGCGGCCUUUCACCUUUGAGGAAGAUAGAUGAAGUUCGAGAAAUGUUGGCAAACUUCAUUACCACUACGUGAUUGUCUUUGAUAUUUUCUUGUACUGAAUCUUAAAUUAUGGAUGCUAGCUAGUUUUUCAUAUGAUUGUAAUGUAAUCGACUUUUAUACUUACAAUUAUAUACUAUUUAAUUUAAUUAUCUAUAUAAUUGGAUACUUUUUAUAUGA
This is a long non-coding RNA of Spinacia oleracea (spinach), 690 nucleotides long. RefSeq lists it as uncharacterized. The record is from RefSeq and is a predicted model, not a curated record. The transcript is spliced from 3 exons. Lineage: Eukaryota; Viridiplantae; Streptophyta; Magnoliopsida; Caryophyllales; Amaranthaceae.